This 427-nucleotide ribosomal RNA is filed under the name Brucella melitensis. RNAcentral describes it as "partial 16S ribosomal RNA". It matches the Rfam family "Bacterial small subunit ribosomal RNA", at positions 355 to 774 of the family's 1533-position model. Lineage: Bacteria; Pseudomonadati; Pseudomonadota; Alphaproteobacteria; Hyphomicrobiales; Brucellaceae. The record is from RNAcentral. RNAcentral also lists the same sequence under 1 other name.
UGGGGAAUAUUGCACAAUGGGCGCAAGCCUGAUGCAGCCAUGCCGCGUGUAUGAAGAAGGCCUUCGGGUUGUAAAGUACUUUCAGCGGGGAGGAAGGGAGUAAAGUUAAUACCUUUGCUCAUUGACGUUACCCGCAGAAGAAGCACCGGCUAACUCCGUGCCAGCAGCCGCGGUAAUACGGAGGGUGCAAGCGUUAAUCGGAAUUACUGGGCGUAAAGCGCACGCAGGCGGUUUGUUAAGUCAGAUGUGAAAUCCCCGGGCUCAACCUGGGAACUGCAUCUGGUACUGGCAAGCUUGAGUCUCGUAGAGGGGGGUAGAAUUCCAGGUGUAGCGGUGAAAUGCGUAGAGAUCUGGAGGAAUACCGGUGGCGAAGGCGGCCCCCUGGACGAAGACUGACGCUCAGGUGCGAAAGCGUGGGGAGCAAACA